RNAcentral lists this ribosomal RNA (433 nucleotides) under uncultured bacterium. RNAcentral's name for it is "partial 16S ribosomal RNA". It matches the Rfam family "Bacterial small subunit ribosomal RNA", at positions 29 to 507 of the family's 1533-position model. The record is from RNAcentral.
AGCGAACGCUGGCGGCAGGCCUAACACAUGCAAGUCGAACGAACUCUUCGGAGUUAGUGGCGGACGGGUGAGUAACACGUGGGAACGUGCCUUUUGGUUCGGAAUAACUCAGGGAAACUUGUGCUAAUACCGAAUGUGCCCCUCGGGGGAAAGAUUUAUCGCCAUUAGAGCGGCCCGCGUCUGAUUAGCUAGUUGGUGAGGUAACGGCUCACCAAGGCGACGAUCAGUAGCUGGUCUGAGAGGAUGACCAGCCACACUGGGACUGAGACACGGCCCAGACUCCUACGGGAGGCAGCAGUGGGUAAUCUUGCGCAAUGGGCGAAAGCCUGACGCAGCCAUGCCGCGUGAAUGAUGAAGGUCUUAGGAUUGUAAAAUUCUUUCACCGGGGACGAUAAUGACGGUACCCGGAGAAGAAGCCCCGGCUAACUUCGUG